AGAGUUUGAUCCUGGCUCAGGAUGAACGCUGGCGGCGUGCUUAACACAUGCAAGUCGAACGAACCUUCGGGUUAGUGGCGGACGGGUGAGUAACGCGUGAGGAUCUGCCCUCAGGAGGGGGAUAACGGUUGGAAACGACCGCUAAUACCCCAUAUGCCGAUAGGUGAAAUGAAUUUCGCCUGAGGAUGAGCUCGCGUCUGAUUAGCUUGUUGGUGAGGUAAUGGCUCACCAAGGCUUCGAUCAGUAGCUGGUCUGAGAGGAUGAUCAGCCACACUGGGACUGAGACACGGCCCAGACUCCUACGGGAGGCAGCAGUGGGGAAUUUUCCGCAAUGGGCGAAAGCCUGACGGAGCAACGCCGCGUGAGGGACGAAGGCCUCUGGGCUGUAAACCUCUUUUCUCAAGGAAGAAGAUAUGACGGUACUUGAGGAAUAAGCCACGGCUAAUUCCGUGCCAGCAGCCGCGGUAAUUC
This 471-nucleotide ribosomal RNA is filed under the name uncultured bacterium. Its description in RNAcentral is "bacterial SSU rRNA". It matches the Rfam family "Bacterial small subunit ribosomal RNA", at positions 8 to 526 of the family's 1533-position model. The record is from RNAcentral.